This 476-nucleotide ribosomal RNA is filed under the name uncultured bacterium. Its description in RNAcentral is "bacterial SSU rRNA". It matches the Rfam family "Bacterial small subunit ribosomal RNA", at positions 967 to 1444 of the family's 1533-position model. The record is from RNAcentral.
AACCUUACCUACCCUUGACAUGUACGGAACUUGCCAGAGAUGGCUUGGUGCUCGNAAGAGAGCCGUAACACAGGUGCUGCAUGGCUGUCGUCAGCUCGUGUCGUGAGAUGUUGGGUUAAGUCCCGCAACGAGCGCAACCCUUGUCAUUAGUUGCUACAUUUAGUUGGGCACUCUAAUGAGACUGCCGGUGACAAACCGGAGGAAGGUGGGGAUGACGUCAAGUCCUCAUGGCCCUUAUGGGUAGGGCUACACACGUCAUACAAUGGCUGGUACAAAGGGUUGCCAACCCGCGAGGGGGAGCUAAUCCCAUAAAGCCAGUCGUAGUCCGGAUCGUAGUCUGCAACUCGACUGCGUGAAGUCGGAAUCGCUAGUAAUCGUGGAUCAGAAUGUCACGGUGAAUACGUUCCCGGGUCUUGUACACACCGCCCGUCNCNCCAUGGGAGCGGGCUCGCCAGAAGUAGUUAGCCUAACCGCAA